CUUGGUCAUUUAGAGGAAGUAAAAGUCGUAACAAGGUUUCCGUAGGUGAACCUGCGGAAGGAUCAUUAAUGAAUUUAGGAGGUUUGCUGUGCCGUCUUCACGGAAUUGUGCACGCUUACCUCUAUAAUCCUUAUCAACACCUGUGCACCUUUCUAGGGAGAACGAUAGGUUUCACGACCUAUCAUGACCUCUAUAUACACACUCUUUAUGUCAAUGAAUGUUACUUGGCCGAAAGGCUAGAAUUAUAAACAACUUUUAACAACGGAUCUCUUGGCUCUCGCAUCGAUGAAGAACGCAGCGAAAUGCGAUCAGUAAUGUGAAUUGCAGAAUUCAGUGAAUCAUCGAAUCUUUGAACGCACCUUGCGCUCCCUGGUAUUCCGGGGAGCACGCCUGUUCGAGUGUUAUGAAACUAUCAAGAAAAAUUGGCUUUAUUGUUGAUUUUGAUUGGAUUUGAACUUUGACGUUGAUCUAGGUAGAGGGUUACUCCUCUGCUCUGUAAUACGACUAGUUUUAAAAGUAUAAGCAGGCUCUGGUUUUUUAAUUACCAUGGUUCUACUCAGCGUGAUAAUUAUCUAUCGUUGAGGACACUUUUAUUAGUGGCCAUGGUCCCAAGAGUUGCUCUCUAAUCUCUGUGAUCAGUUGCAAGACUGAUUUCAUUCAUAUCUGACCUCGAAUCAGGUGGGACUACCCGCUGAACUUAAGCAUAUCAAUAAGCGGAGGA
Molecule: ribosomal RNA, 721 nt
Filed under: uncultured Agaricomycetes
Lineage: Eukaryota; Fungi; Basidiomycota; Agaricomycetes
Description: eukaryotic LSU rRNA
Rfam family: 5.8S ribosomal RNA (bases 251-404)
Source: RNAcentral